Molecule: non-coding RNA, 1449 nt
Organism: Pelobates cultripes (western spadefoot toad)
Lineage: Eukaryota; Metazoa; Chordata; Amphibia; Anura; Pelobatidae
Source: the annotation of a GenBank genome assembly
GAAAAGUUCAACAUAAAUGAGAAUGCUUAGUGUAUAAUGCUUCUAGUGAACGCUUUUCGUCUUUCUUUAGAAAACAAAAAAUCUGUAGCAGGGUUUCACCAGUUAGAACACACUCAGGAGUUGUUUAAUACUCUGUUUAACUUGCGAGUAAAUGUUCCUGUGGAACUCGCUUCCCUCCUUCGUUAGAUGUUCACCCAGUCUCCACUCCUUCAAAAAAUCAUUAAAUACCCACGUCUUCAUAAAAGCGUAUCAAUUAAACUGUUAAUAGCUCCCGACUGAUUCCUCUCUUGCAACUGUCAUUAGUCUAAUGCUAUCCUUACCUUUUGUGUCACUUUACCCCACUCCCUCUAGCAGCUCAUUGAGCAGGGCCCUCAACCCCUCUGUUCCUGUGUGUCCAACUUGUCUGGUUACAGCUACAUGUUUGUUCGUCCACCCACUGUAAAGCGCUGCAGAACUUGUUGGCACUAUAUAAAUAAUAACAUAAUAAUAAUAAUAAUUAUGGUGUAAUUGCAUAAGACAAGAAAGGGAGGUUAUGAAAUGAGCUUCUUUAUUCAUUUCAAAAGCAGAGGAACUUUCUAGUUAUGUUAAAAGCAGCAAUAUAAACUAGUGAUGGUAAGUAAUCAAGGUUACACUGGACUAAUAAUUCUUCUACAUCGACGUGGUGUCUCAGCAAACUCCCUUACACAGGAUGACCGAUCUCUUUUGGUGUUUAGAGGCUCAAGAUUAUAUCUAGCACCAUUUGAAAUCGGUUAUGCUGUAAGGCAAAAAUCAUCAACAGCAAGUCACACACCUCUAUGGUUCAUCCUUCUUCUUGUUGGGCAUCGAUGAGACAAGACAACCUUCCAAAAGUUCUAGAAUACACAGAAAUAUCCUGUUCUUCUCAGCCUUGCUGUAUAUAGCAAAGGUAUAUGUUGUGAGGGAAGAGGUGCAUGCUAGGACAAUCUUGAGGAACCUCAAUUAAUAUUUGUCAUAUUUACACCUUGCUUGGGGGGCAGUCAUUAGGCUGCCUUAUUAAUCCCUAGGAUUUUCUUAUAAAAGUCAUUGGGAAGCUCAGAAAUCUCUUCUUUGCAUAUGUUUGCAUGACAUCAAUUAAUGGCAACAGGUAUGACAUCAGACAAUGCACCCACAAUAGUGUGGCCAUAGGAAGGAUGUCUGAGCAUAAUUUAUUUCAGAAACAUCUGUGGUGUCAAGGGUGCACCCUUAUCAUUAGGAAACACUGGGUUUUAAGUGCCCUGGGACAUUAAGGUUGGUUACAUUUGCAUCUCCUGCAAUUUUAUAUUUUAUUUGAGUGGUUUAGCAUCUUUACAAACUGCAAAUAAAAUUGUUGGUUUUUCAUUAAAGGCACUUUGUGGUGGUCAAUUAUUAAGGAGCUUAAAAAUAAAAUGGAUUGAUAAAACAUUUGUAUGUCUUUAUUGUGCAAUUUGACAAUAUUGUUCUGUGAAGCAGCAG